Molecule: ribosomal RNA, 253 nt
Filed under: uncultured bacterium
Lineage: Bacteria
Description: partial 16S ribosomal RNA
Rfam family: Bacterial small subunit ribosomal RNA
Source: RNAcentral
GACGAAGGGGGCUAGCGUUGUUCGGAAUUACUGGGCGUAAAGCGUGUGUAGGUGGUUGUCCAAGUUGGAUGUGAAAGCCUUGAGCUCAACUCAAGAAAUGCAUUCAGGACUGGGUGACUAGAGGACCGGAGAGGAUAGUGGAAUUCCCAGUGUAGUGGUGAAAUACGUAGAGAUUGGGAAGAACACCAGUGGCGAAGGCGGCUAUCUGGACGGUUUCUGACACUAAGACUCGAAAGCGUGGGGAGCAAACAGG